UACAGAGGGUGCAAGCGUUAAUCGGAUUUACUGGGCGUAAAGCGAGUGUAGGUGGCCGCGUAAGUCGGUUGUGAAAUUCCUGGGCUCAACCUGGGGGCUGCGUUUGAUACGUGCGGACUUGAGUGCGGAAGAGGGUCGUGGAAUUCCCAGUGUAGAGGUGAAAUUCGUAGAUAUUGGGAAGAACACCGGUGGCGAAGGCGGCGACCUGGUCCGAUACUGACGCUGAGGCGCGAAAGCGUGGGGAGCAAACAGG
Molecule: ribosomal RNA, 253 nt
Filed under: uncultured bacterium
Lineage: Bacteria
Description: partial 16S ribosomal RNA
Rfam family: Bacterial small subunit ribosomal RNA
Source: RNAcentral